RNAcentral lists this ribosomal RNA (465 nucleotides) under Vreelandella stevensii. Its description in RNAcentral is "partial 16S ribosomal RNA". It matches the Rfam family "Bacterial small subunit ribosomal RNA", at positions 338 to 795 of the family's 1533-position model. Lineage: Bacteria; Pseudomonadati; Pseudomonadota; Gammaproteobacteria; Oceanospirillales; Halomonadaceae. The record is from RNAcentral.
CCUACGCGGGGCUGCAGUGGGGAAUAUUGGACAAUGGGGGGAACCCUGAUCCAGCCAUGCCGCGUGUGUGAAGAAGGCCCUCGGGUUGUAAAGCACUUUCAGUGAGGAAGAACGCCUGGUGGUUAAUACCCAUCAGGAAAGACAUCACUCACAGAAGAAGCACCGGCUAACUCCGUGCCAGCAGCCGCGGUAAUACGGAGGGUGCGAGCGUUAAUCGGAAUUACUGGGCGUAAAGCGCGCGUAGGUGGCUUGAUAAGCCGGUUGUGAAAGCCCCGGGCUCAACCUGGGAACGGCAUCCGGAACUGUCAAGCUAGAGUGCAGGAGAGGAAGGUAGAAUUCCCGGUGUAGCGGUGAAAUGCGUAGAGAUCGGGAGGAAUACCAGUGGCGAAGGCGGCCUUCUGGACUGACACUGACACUGAGGUGCGAAAGCGUGGGUAGCAAACAGGAUUAGAUACCCUUGUAGUC